UAGCGUAUAUUAAAGUUGUUGCAGUUAAAAAGCUCGUAGUUGAAUUUCGAGAUCAAUUUGUUGGUCGUGCCUCGGUACGUACUGGCAAUUUUGAUUUCUCCCUUCUGAAGAACCAUGAUGUCAUUAAUUUGGUGUCAUGGGGAAUCAGGACCGUUACUUGAAAAAUUAGAGUGUUUAAAGCAGGCUCGCGCUUGAAUACAUUAGCAUGGAAUAAUGAAAUAGGACGUUUGAUUCUAUUUUGUUGGUUUACUAGGAUCGACGUAAUGAUUAAUAGGGAUAGUUGGGGGCAUUAGCAUUCAAUUGUCAGAGGUGAAAUUCUUGGAUUUAUUGAAGACUAACUACUGCGAAAGCAUUUGCCAAGGAUGUUUUCAUUAAUCAAGAACGAAAGUUAGGGGGAUCGAAGACGAUCAGAUACCGUCGUAGUCUUAACCAUAAACUAUGCCGACUAGGGAUCGGAUGAUGUUAAUUUUUUAAUGACUCAUUCGGCGCCUUACG
This 495-nucleotide ribosomal RNA is filed under the name uncultured Glomus. Its description in RNAcentral is "SSU rRNA". It matches the Rfam family "Eukaryotic small subunit ribosomal RNA", at positions 595 to 1092 of the family's 1831-position model. Lineage: Eukaryota; Fungi; Glomeromycota; Glomeromycetes; Glomerales; Glomeraceae. The record is from RNAcentral.